CCUACGGGUGGCAGCAGUGAGGAAUAUUGGUCAAUGGACGAGAGUCUGAACCAGCCAAGUAGCGUGAAGGAUGACUGCCCUAUGGGUUGUAAACUUCUUUUAUAUGGGAAUAAAACAGGGUAUGCAUACCAUCUUGUAUGUACCAUAUGAAUAAGGAUCGGCUAAAUCCGUGCCAGCAGCCGCGGUAAGAGGGAGGAUCCGAGCGUUAUCCGGAUUUAUUGGGUUUAAGGGGAGCGUAGAUGGAUUGUUAAGUCAGUUGGGAAUGGUUGCGACUCAAGCGUAAAAUUGCAGUUGAAACUGGCAGUCUUGAGUACAGUAGAGGUGGGCGGAAUUCGUGGUGUAGCGGUGAAAUGCUUAGAUAUCACGAAGAACUCCGAUUGCGAAGGCAGCUCACUGGACUGCAACUGACACUGAUGCUCGAAAGUGUGGGUAUCAAACAGGAUUAGAUACCCUGGUAGUC
RNAcentral lists this ribosomal RNA (460 nucleotides) under uncultured bacterium. Its description in RNAcentral is "partial 16S ribosomal RNA". It matches the Rfam family "Bacterial small subunit ribosomal RNA", at positions 338 to 795 of the family's 1533-position model. The record is from RNAcentral.